RNAcentral lists this ribosomal RNA (542 nucleotides) under uncultured Planctomycetota bacterium. RNAcentral's name for it is "bacterial SSU rRNA". It matches the Rfam family "Bacterial small subunit ribosomal RNA", at positions 8 to 522 of the family's 1533-position model. The record is from RNAcentral. Lineage: Bacteria; Pseudomonadati; Planctomycetota.
AGAGUUUGAUCCUGGCUCAGAACGAACGCUGGCGGCGUGGAUUAGGCAUGCAAGUCGAACGCGAAAGAGGGGGGUAACUCCCUCGAGUAGAGUGGCGAACGGGUGAGUAACACGUGAGAAACCUGCCUUCAGCAGGGGGAUAACACUCCCAACGGGGUGCUAAUACCGCAUGAGACCACGGGUCCGCAUGAACCUGAGGUCAAAGGUGGCCUCUGCUUGCAAGCUACCGGCUGAAGAUGGUCUCGCGUCCCAUUAGCUAGUUGGUGGGGUAAUGGCCCACCAAGGCAACGAUGGGUAGCUGGUCUGAGAGGAUGGUCAGCCACACUGGGACUGAGAUACGGCCCAGACUCCUACGGGAGGCAGCAGUCGAGAGGCUUUGGCAAUGGGGGAAACCCUGACCAAGCGACGCCGCGUGAGGGAUGAAGGCCCUUGGGUUGUAAACCUCUUUUGUCGGGGAAGAAACGCGAUCAGGUGAACAAUCUGGUCGUUUGACGGUACCCGGCGAAUAAGCUCCGGCUAACUCCGUGCCAGCAGCCGCGGUA